AAAAGUCAGAAUACAAGAGCGCGAUUGAAUUAUCCUUUUGGCAUUUUUCCAAUAUUCUUGAUCCCAAGUCAAGGAGAAAUUUUGUAGUGCAACGGUUUAGUGUUCUUAGGUGUACGCUUUACAUGUUUAUGUGUACGUAUUACAAUAUGGGUAUGAUAACUAAGUUAUUAGGUGAGAUGUUAGACAUGUUCAUUCUCUAAAUUACAUAUUAAAGACUUGCAUAAUUCUAGUUAUAAAAUUUAUUCACUAAAAACUCGUUAUUGGUAAGAAGUG
RNAcentral lists this long non-coding RNA (273 nucleotides) under Malus domestica (apple). RNAcentral describes it as "long non-coding RNA (MDOM_LNC015611)". The record is from RNAcentral. Lineage: Eukaryota; Viridiplantae; Streptophyta; Magnoliopsida; Rosales; Rosaceae.